This 253-nucleotide ribosomal RNA is filed under the name uncultured bacterium. RNAcentral describes it as "partial 16S ribosomal RNA". It matches the Rfam family "Bacterial small subunit ribosomal RNA", at positions 524 to 776 of the family's 1533-position model. The record is from RNAcentral.
UACGAAGGGGGCUAGCGUUGCUCGGAAUUACUGGGCGUAAAGCGCACGUAGGCGGCUUUCUAAGUCGGUGGUGAAAUCCUGGAGCUCAACUCCAGAACUGCCUUCGAUACUGGAGAGCUUGAGUCCGGGAGAGGUGAGUGGAACUGCGAGUGUAGAGGUGAAAUUCGUAGAUAUUCGCAAGAACACCAGUGGCGAAGGCGGCUCACUGGCCCGGUACUGACGCUGAGGUGCGAAAGCGUGGGGAGCAAACAGG